This 70-nucleotide transfer RNA is filed under the name Erthesina fullo. Its description in RNAcentral is "tRNA-Ser". Lineage: Eukaryota; Metazoa; Arthropoda; Insecta; Hemiptera; Pentatomidae. The record is from RNAcentral.
AGAGAAUGAUAUUUGAUCUAAAAGAAGCUGCUAACUAUCUUUUAAAGCGGUUAAACUCCGUUUUUCUCUU